CAUGCAAGUCGAGCGAAGCUUUUCAGUAGUUUACUACAGAAAAUGACUGAGCGGCGAACGGGUGAGUAACGCGUGAGCAAUCUACCUUAGUUACUGGGAUAGCCCGAGGAAACUCGGAUUAAUACCGGAUAAUCUUAUUACAUCACAUGAUAUUUUAAGUAAAGGUCAGCCGAACUAAGACGAGCUCGCGUUCUAUCAGCUUGUUGGUGGGGUAAAAGCCUACCAAGGCUACGACGGAUAGCUGGUCUGAGAGGACGAUCAGCCACACUGGGACUGAGACACGGCCCAGACUCCUACGGGAGGCUGCAGCAGGGAAUAUUGCGCAAUGAGCGAAAGCUUGACGCAGCGACACCGCGUGUGGGAUGACGGUUCUAGGAUUGUAAACCACUUUCAGGAGGGAAGAAAAUGACGGUACCUCCACAAGAAGCCCCGGCCAACUACGUGCCAGCAGCCGCGGUAAUACGUAGGGGGCGAGCGUUGUCCGGAUUUAUUGGGCGUAAAGAGCUCGUAGGCGGUUCAACAAGUCGGUCGUGAAAGUUCAGGGCUUAACCCUGAAAUGUCGAUCGAUACUGUUGUGACUAGGAUAUGGUAGAGGUGAGUGGAAUUCCGAGUGUAGCGGUGAAAUGCGUAGAUAUUCGGAGGAACACCAAUAGCGAAGGCAGCUCACUGGACCACUAUCGACG
Molecule: ribosomal RNA, 683 nt
Filed under: uncultured bacterium
Lineage: Bacteria
Description: bacterial SSU rRNA
Rfam family: Bacterial small subunit ribosomal RNA
Source: RNAcentral